This 579-nucleotide ribosomal RNA is filed under the name Triticum aestivum (bread wheat). Its description in RNAcentral is "partial small subunit ribosomal RNA". The record is from RNAcentral. Lineage: Eukaryota; Viridiplantae; Streptophyta; Magnoliopsida; Poales; Poaceae.
AUGUGGGGUGACGACGAUACCCCGUCGCCGUCCCCAUCGGCACACCCGCCCACCGUAGCUGGCAACCCAAUCCUGCUUGACUUCAACGCUGCACGGUACCAAGCAUUCUUCUACUGCAACGCGACUUCCUUUGUGGCCUCUAUCGCCGUCAUCCUGCUGCUGCUGCAGCGCACCUUGAAGAAGCAGCAGCCCGGCGCGCCGCUGCGGACGUUGCAGACCGCCGUGGUGCUGGACCUGCUCGGGCUGCUUGGCGCGUACACCGCCGGCAGCUGCAGGGACUGGGAGACGUCUGGCUACGUCAUCGCGCUCGUAGCCGUCGUGGUCGUCUUCAUUGCGCUGCACGGGCUGUUGUCGUUCGACAUCGUGUUUAACAAGGCCAGGAAGCUCCUGCCGAAGAAGUACUUUGGAGGUGGCAACGAUGUUGAGGCCCAGCCCGGGAAUCCCGAUCAGACCAGCCGCCAUGGACAAUGCCUAGUUUAUGUUUUCUUUGCUUGUUUGCGUUCUUUUGAUUCCAAAUGCGUGCGCCACAGAUUCCAUUUGAUGUGUCUUGUAUGUGGAGUAAUGAACAAGUAUUUGUAA